Molecule: long non-coding RNA, 466 nt
Filed under: Phoenix dactylifera (date palm)
Lineage: Eukaryota; Viridiplantae; Streptophyta; Magnoliopsida; Arecales; Arecaceae
Description: long non-coding RNA (PDAC_LNC018487)
Source: RNAcentral
AGAAGAUAUUCGUUAAAAACAAUAAGUUCAUACAACUCCAAGAAUAUAAAAUUAAAAUAUAAAACCCUUGGCCCUUUGUUAGGGCUGCAUCCAGCCCUAGUGAAGAGAUCAGCCUUCCAUGGAGUCGUGGGCGAUAGCAGUAGCGAUAUAGAAAGCCUUCAUCACGACUAGGUUCUCCCUCUUUUCUCCCGUCGGCUUCCUCUCCCUUUUGAACUUCAUUAUUUUUUUCUUUGAGAAAUCAUUCCCAAAAUACCCAAACUACUAUCUCUCCCUCUUAUUUUUGUGGGAACUUGGUCUGGGAACCCAAGCUUCUCCAGCGAAGAGAUCCACCCCGGUGGGGAAGAGGAGGAAACCUUACCCAAGAAAAACUCUGAUAAGGAUGUGGAGAGGCUAACUUGAUUCGAAAGAUGUUGCAUACACUCCAACGUGGAAGAAGAUCAUGGGAUAUGGCCUCGGAAGAUCAUCC